RNAcentral lists this ribosomal RNA (433 nucleotides) under uncultured bacterium. RNAcentral's name for it is "partial 16S ribosomal RNA". It matches the Rfam family "Bacterial small subunit ribosomal RNA", at positions 29 to 507 of the family's 1533-position model. The record is from RNAcentral.
AGCGAACGCUGGCGGCAGGCCUAACACAUGCAAGUCGAACGAACUCUUCGGAGUUAGUGGCGGACGGGUGAGUAACACGUGGGAACGUGCCUUUUGGUUCGGAAUAACUCAGGGAAACUUGUGCUAAUACCGAAUGUGCCCUUCGGGGGAAAGAUUUAUCGCCAUUAGAGCGGCCCGCGUCUGAUUAGCUAGUUGGUGAGGUAACGGCUCACCAAGGCGACGAUCAGUAGCUGGUCUGAGAGGAUGACCAGCCACACUGGGACUGAGACACGGCCCAGACUCCUACGGGAGGCAGGAGUGGGGAAUCUUGCGCAAUGGGCGAAAGCCUGACGCAGCCAUGCCGCGUGAAUGAUGAAGGUCUUAGGAUUGUAAAAUUCUUUUACCGGGGACGAUAAUGACGGUACCCGGAGAAGAAGCCCCGGCUAACUUCGUG